RNAcentral lists this ribosomal RNA (424 nucleotides) under uncultured bacterium. Its description in RNAcentral is "bacterial SSU rRNA". It matches the Rfam family "Bacterial small subunit ribosomal RNA", at positions 28 to 451 of the family's 1533-position model. The record is from RNAcentral.
GAUGAACGCUAGCGGCAGGCUUAACACAUGCAAGUCGAGGGGUAGAGGAAGCUUGCUUCCUUGAGACCGGCGCACGGGUGCGUAACGCGUAUACAAUCUACCUUUUACAGAGGGAUAGCCCCAGAGAAAUUUGGAUUAAUACCUCAUAGUAUUUUCGGAUCGCAUGAUUUGAUUAUUAAAGUUCCAACGGUAAAGAUGAGUAUGCGUCCCAUUAGCUAGAUGGUAAGGUAACGGCUUACCAUGGCAAUGAUGGGUAGGGGUCCUGAGAGGGAGAUCCCCCACACUGGUACUGAGACACGGACCAGACUCCUACGGGAGGCAGCAGUGAGGAAUAUUGGACAAUGGGCGCAAGCCUGAUCCAGCCAUGCCGCGUGCAGGAAUAAGGUCCCUAUGGAUUGUAAACUGCUUUUAUACAGGAAGAAAC